AAGACUUGUGAAAUUCUACUUCACAUCUAAUGAAUGCAACUCAAACACUUUAAUUAAGCUAAAGCCUC
Molecule: transfer RNA, 68 nt
Filed under: Anolis jacare
Lineage: Eukaryota; Metazoa; Chordata; Lepidosauria; Squamata; Anolidae
Description: tRNA-Ala
Source: RNAcentral